GAUUAACGCUGGCGGCGUGCAUAACACAUGCAAGUCGAACGAUGAAACUUAAAUGAUUUCUUUGGAAUGAACUUAAGUGGAUUAGUGGCGGACGGGUGAGUAACGCGUGAGUAACCUGCCUUACACAAGGGGAUAGCCGUUGGAAACGACGAAUAAUACCCUAUGAAACUAUCACUUCGCAUGAAGCGAUAGUCAAAGUGUUAGCGGUGUAAGAUGGACUUGCGUCUGAUUAGCUAGUUGGUGAGAAAAAAGCCCACCAAGGCAACGAUCAGUAGCCGGCUUGAGAGAGUGUACGGCCACAUUGGGACUGAGGCACGGCCCAGACUCCUACGGGAGGCAGCAGUGGGGAAUUUUGCACAAUGGGGGAAACCCUGAUGCAGCGACGCCGCGUGAUUUAGAAGGCCUUCGGGUUGUAAAAAUCUUUUGUAUAGGAAGAAAAUGACAGUACUAUACGAAUAAGGUCCGGCUAAUUACGUG
RNAcentral lists this ribosomal RNA (477 nucleotides) under uncultured bacterium. RNAcentral describes it as "partial 16S ribosomal RNA". It matches the Rfam family "Bacterial small subunit ribosomal RNA", at positions 28 to 507 of the family's 1533-position model. The record is from RNAcentral.